CGUGUAGGCGGGCUUUCAAGUCGGUUGUGAAAUCCCUCAGCUCAACUGAGGAACUGCAUCCGAUACUGUUUGUCUUGAGGACGAGAGGGGAGAGUGGAACUUCUGGUGGAGCGGUGAAAUGCGUAGAUAUCAGAAGGAACGCCGGUGGCGAAAGCGACUCUCUGGCUCGUAACUGACGCUGGAACGCGAAAGCUGGUAGCAAACG
Molecule: ribosomal RNA, 205 nt
Filed under: uncultured bacterium
Lineage: Bacteria
Description: partial 16S ribosomal RNA
Rfam family: Bacterial small subunit ribosomal RNA
Source: RNAcentral